GAGUUUGAUCCUGGCUCAGAUUGAACGCUGGCGGCAGGCUUAACACAUGCAAGUCGAGCGGUUUAGUUAGCUUGCUAACUAGAUAGCGGCGAACGGGUGAGUAAUGCCUAGGAAUCUGCCUGAUAGUGGGGGACAACGUGUGGAAACGCACGCUAAUACCGCAUACGUCCUACGGGAGAAAGGGGGCUUUUCGGAGCUCUCGCUAACAGAUGAGCCUAGGUCAGAUUAGCUAGUUGGUGAGGUAAAGGCUCACCAAGGCGACGAUCUGUAGCGGGUCUGAGAGGAUGAUCCGCCACACUGGAACUGAGACACGGUCCAGACUCCUACGGGAGGCAGCAGUGGGGAGUAUUGGACAAUGGGCGAAAGCCUGAUCCAGCCAUGCCGCGUGUGUGAAGAAGGCCUUUUGGUUGUAAAGCACUUUAAGCGGGGAGGAGGCUACUUUGGUUAAUACCCAAGGAUAGUGGACGUUACCCGCAGAAUAAGCACCGGCUAACUCUGUGCCAGCAGCCGCGGUAAUACAGAGGGUGCGAGCGUUAAUCGGAAUUACUGGGCGUAAAGCGCGCGUAGGCGGCUUGUUAAGUCGGAUGUGAAAUCCCUGGGCUCAACCUAGGCAUUGCAUACGAUACUGGCAAGCUAGAGUAUGGGAGAGGAAGGUAGAAUUCCAGGUGUAG
Molecule: ribosomal RNA, 671 nt
Filed under: uncultured Gammaproteobacteria bacterium
Lineage: Bacteria; Pseudomonadati; Pseudomonadota; Gammaproteobacteria
Description: bacterial SSU rRNA
Rfam family: Bacterial small subunit ribosomal RNA
Source: RNAcentral